Molecule: ribosomal RNA, 468 nt
Filed under: uncultured bacterium
Lineage: Bacteria
Description: partial 16S ribosomal RNA
Rfam family: Bacterial small subunit ribosomal RNA
Source: RNAcentral
GACGAACGCUGGCGGCGUGCUUAACACAUGCAAGUCGAACGGAAAGGCCCUGCUUUUGUGGGGUGCUCGAGUGGCGAACGGGUGAGUAACACGUGAGUAACCUGCCCUUGACUUUGGGAUAACUUCAGGAAACUGGGGCUAAUACAGGAUAGGAGCUCCUGCUGCAUGGUGGGGGUUGGAAAGUUUCGGCGGUUGGGGAUGGACUCGCGGCUUAUCAGCUUGUUGGUGGGGUAGUGGCUUACCAAGGCUUUGACGGGUAGCCGGCCUGAGAGGGUAACCGGCGACAUUGGGACUGAGAGACGGCGCAGACGCAUACGGGAGGCAGCAGGGGGGAAUAUUGCGCAAUGGGCGGAAGCCUGAUGCAGCAACGCCGCGUGCGGGAUGACGGCCUUCGGGUUGUGAACCGCUUUCGCCUGUGACGAAGCGUGAGUGACGGUAAUGGGUAAAGAAGCACCGGCUAACUACGUG